RNAcentral lists this ribosomal RNA (331 nucleotides) under uncultured bacterium. Its description in RNAcentral is "bacterial SSU rRNA". It matches the Rfam family "Bacterial small subunit ribosomal RNA", at positions 568 to 898 of the family's 1533-position model. The record is from RNAcentral.
UACGCAGGCGGCUUGGUAAGACAGAUGUGAAAUCCCCGGGCCUAACCUGGGAACUGCAUUUGUGGCUGCCAGGCUCGAGUCUGUCAGAGGGGGGUGGAAUUCCACGUGUAGCAGUGAAAUGCGUAGAGAUGUGGAGGAACACCGAUGGCGAAGGCAGCCCCCUGGGAUGAGACUGACGCUCAUGUACGAAAGCGUGGGGAGCAAACAGGAUUAGAUACCCUGGUAGUCCACGCCCUAAACGAUGUCGACUAGUUGUCCGGGGAUUCAUUUUCUCGGUAACGCAGCUAACGCGUGAAGUCGACCGCCUGGGGAGUACGGUCGCAAGAUUAAA